Molecule: long non-coding RNA, 1988 nt
Organism: Procambarus clarkii (red swamp crayfish)
Lineage: Eukaryota; Metazoa; Arthropoda; Malacostraca; Decapoda; Cambaridae
Source: RefSeq, a predicted model, not a curated record
ACGAGUGAAAAUGGACACAUCGGAAGUGUAACUGAAAAACUUCACUACUCGACUCAACUCCUACCGAAUAAGAAAGACACUCUAUGAGGUCAUGUUGAUAAACAGUCGGCGUCCUAUCACGAGUUUCUUAACAGGAAAAGUGUAAAGUGUUAAUACGUAUGCGGGAACUUUUAUUAUUCGUUCGUUGUUUAGCAAGAACCGGAGAGUUUAUUUUGGUUAUCGGUGAUGAAAUAUAAAUAAAGAUGAAACCAACACAAACUCCUGAUACUUUCGCACGUGACUGUGUUUAUUCAGGAAUCAAUAUUGUACAGGAAAUGCCAGUUGAAUACAGGGCCUCUAGUACUUUGCUAAAUGUGCAUUUUAUUAGAGAACUACAGUCCAUCAUCCAGUGGGAUUAAUUAGCAUUAAAGUGUGGCAGUCAGUGUUAGGACAAUCACUGUCCCAACACUGUCUACUAGUCCUGGCUGACUAGUAGACAAGGGAUCCCAGCAUCCUCGUCCGCAAAGACAAGGUAGGUGCUUACCGACCGUAGAGGGAUAGACCUACACCAGUUUAAGGUACGUGCGUAUUACCGUCUGUUUAGCAUAUAUUUUUAAUUGCGUAUAAUUGCAAGGCAAUGUUCAUUAUAAAGAAAUAGGUGCACCAAAGCGACCUUCUUUGGUCACGAAGGCCCUUCAGCUUGCGACUUGGGUCAGGGGGUUCUUUAGGUCAAGUACCAUUGUUUUGCCCCACAUUACGAUCACUUGGAACUAUUUAACUGCGUCAAUAGUCAAUGUAUUAUAUUCUGACGCACUGUUGCGGACUUAAAUUUUGCGACUUGUAAUAUGGAUCAUAUUACUAAUUGGGCGAAUGUCUAAAGUAAAACGAUGCGUAACAUUCGUAUAGUGUAAUAACAUUUUCAAGUGUUGUGGUAGAAAGUUCCCGGUAAUGAAGGGUAAUUAGUUGCAAAUUAUAACAAAUUGUUAAGUUAAGUAAUUGAGGGUAUGGACAUACUUUACAAUUUCAAUUGACCAAAAAUUAACAAUAGGCGUUACCAUUCUUUUCCUGAUAAGGAAUUUAUUACACAUAAUUAGAAUACGAAUGCCACUGAAGAACAACAAAUUAUCAAACUACAAAGUUAAAAUACAACUCGGGAAAUUUAAAGUUAAGUUCUCAUUGCAGGACAGGGAAAAGCGAAUCAUAAAACGCUUCGUUCAGAUUUAUCGAAGAAUAAGGUUGGGCUGUUGAAAGCGAGGCAAGUUAGGGAGUUUAUAUUAAAAAAAAAUGGACUAUUUAUAAAAGUAUUUUGUAUCUGUAUUGGCGAAAUCCUUAAUAUUUUAUCUGCAGCUGAAGAAAUUUAUGUAAGUGGUGACUAGGAAAAAUUAACUUUUUUAAUUUGCUUACUGACAGAGGAAGUUAGUAGACAAAAUGGAUAAAUAUAAUCCCAACACGGCUCUGUCACCCUGAUCAUUCAGAAACAAUGGUAUUCACACUCUGGCACUCUAGUGCACAAAUUAUCCUCUUGCAUAACUGUCGAGAGAGACUUCCUUGCGUGUCGCCAGGCACCUGUGCUGAUGAAGGUAUAAACCCCUAGAACAGCGUAUUACUCUGCCUGGGCGGCAGUUCUGUGGUCUUUGUGGGCGGUGUCACUAUUGUUGUACACACCUGGUCACACUCUUGGCCUGACACAAUCAUAUGCAACUCCUGUCUCCUACAGUGAUGUAUAAUCUUAAUGUGGUAUGAUAUCUGUUAAAACACUGUUCAGAUGAGUACAUAAGCAGCUAGAAAAUGUGAGACGGUAAGUUUAAACACGGCAGUAAACUAAUAACCAAUAUUAACUAAUGAAAUAAUUCCAUGAAUGAACUGGUUAAAACUGGCAACACUUGUGCAACCAGGCUCCGUGUGGCUCUGCCCGGAGCCAGCAAUAACCGGAACUCGCUGGUCACUUCCUAUUAAAAACAUAACAAAGGUAACUGCAGAAGGCCUAUUGGCCCAUACGAGGCAGCUCC